GGCGCACGGGUGCGUAACGCGUGGGAAUCUACCCUUCGGUUCGGAAUAACAGCGAGAAAUUGCUGCUAAUACCGGAUGAUGACGUAAGUCCAAAGAUUUAUCGCCGAGGGAUGAGCCCGCGUAGGAUUAGCUAGUUGGUGUGGUAAAGGCGCACCAAGGCGACGAUCCUUAGCUGGUCUGAGAGGAUGAUCAGCCACACUGGGACUGAGACACGGCCCAGACUCCUACGGGAGGCAGCAGUGGGGAAUAUUGGACAAUGGGCGAAAGCCUGAUCCAGCAAUGCCGCGUGAGUGAUGAAGGCCUUAGGGUUGUAAAGCUCUUUUACCCGGGAUGAUAAUGACAGUACCGGGAGAAUAAGCUCCGGCUAACUCCGUGCCAGCAGCCGCGGUAAUACGGAGGGAGCUAGCGUUAUUCGGAAUUACUGGGCGUAAAGCGCACGUAGGCGGCUUUGUAAGUAAGAGGUGAAAGCCUGGAGCUCAACUCCAGAACUGCCUUUUAGACUGCAUCGCUUGAAUCCAGGA
This 521-nucleotide ribosomal RNA is filed under the name uncultured bacterium. RNAcentral's name for it is "bacterial SSU rRNA". It matches the Rfam family "Bacterial small subunit ribosomal RNA", at positions 97 to 653 of the family's 1533-position model. The record is from RNAcentral.